This 727-nucleotide unclassified non-coding RNA is filed under the name Ceratitis capitata (Mediterranean fruit fly). Its description in RNAcentral is "coiled-coil domain-containing protein 103, transcript variant X1". The record is from RNAcentral. Lineage: Eukaryota; Metazoa; Arthropoda; Insecta; Diptera; Tephritidae.
AAAUGUCAGGCACCCCUUCCACAGUUUGAGUGCACAUGCAUCGCAUCUUUUGUUUAUAUCGAUCAAACAAACGUAAGAAAAAUUUAAUAGAUAUAGAAAGAAUCCGAUUGUUUUGCUCAAAAAAGUCAACAUUUUCUUCUUAAAUACUGGUAAAAUACGCAUAUCAAUGGAUAAAAUUACACCGGAGGAAUUAUUAAAGCUACGCGCUAACUGCAUGGAGCGCCUACGCGCAGCUGAACUCUAUGAAUUGCGCAAUGAUGCCAAGCUGCGUGCGGUGAAUACCACACAAACUUAUGAAGAAUUCAAAGAUAUUGUGGAUGCGGCACAUUUGCAACCAGUAAGUAAACAGGAUAAAAUGAAUGCGAAGACGAAAAGUCGCUUGUGGAAUUCAGCGGCACGGGAGAAUUGAUAUUGUGUUCUUCUUAACAACCAAAUUUUGGGUUUACAUUAAAAAUAAUUAUAUAAGAAAUGUAUUUGUCAGAAUUGUCAUCAAAAACACACAAGUGUAAAAUAGGGUAUUGUUUGUUUUUGAUGAAGUUGUGUUAUAAGUGGGCAUACUGUUACCGGCAUCGAUAUAGCAAUACUUAGGACACUGGAGCAAGCAUUAACUUUAUACUUAGCACAGAUGUUAACUAAAUAGACUCAUGGUGAUAUUGUAUACAAGUAUACAUAUAUUUCUAUGCGAUCGUACAUGUGUAGAUAAGGAUAUAAACAUAAAAUUUGAAGU